CAGCCGCCGCGGGAAUACGAAGGGUGCAAGCGUUACUCGGAAUUACUGGGCGUAAAGCGUGCGUAGGUGGUUGUUUAAGUCUGCUGUGAAAGCCCUGGGCUCAACCUGGGAAUUGCAGUGGAUACUGGGCGACUAGAGUAAGGUAGAGGAUAGUGGAAUUUCCGGUGUAGCAGUGAAAUGCGUAGAGAUCGGAAGGAACAUCUGUGGCGAAGGCGACUAUCUGGGCCAUUACUGACACUGAGGCACGAAAGCGUGGGGAGCAAACAGGAUUAGAUACCCCCGUAGUCCCUGUCUCUUAUAC
Molecule: ribosomal RNA, 301 nt
Filed under: uncultured bacterium
Lineage: Bacteria
Description: partial 16S ribosomal RNA
Rfam family: Bacterial small subunit ribosomal RNA
Source: RNAcentral